RNA transcript from Culex pipiens pallens (northern house mosquito), 2962 nucleotides. RefSeq lists it as uncharacterized. The record is from RefSeq and is a predicted model, not a curated record. NCBI's taxonomy places the organism in Eukaryota, Metazoa, Arthropoda, Insecta, Diptera, Culicidae. The transcript has 4 exons.
AUUGUGCAUUUAUUUUGAUUUCAUAACAUUAUAGACAUCAUUCAAAGAAACUUCCACCAAUAAAAAAUCAAAUUGAUGGCAAACUGAGGGCGUGAAGACAAAAAGACUGCCGCGCUGGCAUUUUGUGAGAAUGGCUCAUCGCUGAGCAUGCCCAGUAAAACAGCCAAAAUCCAAGUCGAGCCAAAUUAGUUCGCGGUUUCAAAAAAAGGUGUCGCAUGGCUCAAAUUAUGGCGCCGCCUAGCGGUGAGACACACCAACUGCUGUGAACAGGCUGAAAUAUUGCUUGAGUGACGUAAACCCGAGCUGUCAGAACCGGACUUAGCCAUUUUUGUGUUUGUUUACGUUCCUGCCACGUUUGCAAUUUCUCUUGCAUAACAAAAAAACAUUUUAUUUCGGUUUUCGCGGAAUUCCUGGGCGUAACGCGGUUCUUUGGUGCCGAGAAAAACUGCCGUUGAUUAAUUUUGCCAACGGUCCGUAAAUUUUGCGCAAAAUUUCGGUUUCGCGAAAGUUGUUCCUAAGGAAUUCGGCAGCUGGAGAAUCCGGACGUUGCCGAACCUGUCGACAACGGGUGUGGCCGUGUCCGGAUUUCCAUCACCGGAAACAUAUUUGGUGCAAAGUCGAGCUGGGAGAGCUGAGAAGAAGAUAGAUGACGAGAAGAAUACGUGAACCAAAAAGUAGUUGCCGGAAGAGUGUCGUGUGCGGUAGUGCAGUGUUUCUUUUUUGCCGCACCGGAAAAAGGACUCUGGACUCACGAAAGGAACUGCUUAAUCUCCCCCGAGCAAGGCCCGCCGGUGUUCGCUUCCGGAGCUGCAGCGUACUGCGGGACUGGAGCCGCUGCUUGCUGGGGAAUUGGUACCGAUUCCGUCGAAUCCGAACCGGGGAACAUACCGGUCAUGGUGUGACCGCAGCAGAACCGAUCGCAACAACUCCCGCUGUAUCGGCAAUCUGGGCCAUCAGACCAGGUCCGAUUCCGCGUGACACAGCAGGUAUAGAAGAUUUAAACAUUGCCCAGUUCCGUUCCGCGCGUAAUAUUUUGAAAAUAUUCUUCCGUGAGGGUGAAUUCCAAGUCUUCUGCACUCCUGUUGUGCCGCACGGAACCGUAAACGGUUAUCCGGUCACAAAAUUGCACUGAUUUGGUGGGGUGAAUAUCAGGGCUAAGAACCUUUUUCUGAGGAAAACAAGAAAUUGGGAUUUACAUUUCGGACAAAAGCAAAGAAGAAGUUUAUUGGGCGGAUUUGGGAAGAGAAAAAAGGAAAGCCGGAAGUGCCAAUUUGGUGUGUUUACUGUUGAAAAUCAACGUGAAAAUAAUGAAUAUGAAAAAAACGAGUUAACAAAACGAAAACCCAGUUCGACUUAGCACUGAGCUGUAAUUCUUGUUGUGAUUUGAUCACCAUCAGCCUUCCUGCGGGUGAUUUGGAGUCUGCAAUAUGAAAUGCCUCCCGGAGUGUCAAGGCAGCUCGGCUUUAAAAAAUGGUAAUUUCGGUCAGCAUAUCCCAACCAGCCCACGUGUUCCGAGUCCACCAGAGUCCAGUUCCAGAUUGAUUCCGCGGAGAAAGCUUCAGAGUAACCGCUCAGAAACACAUGUUGGUCAUCUCACCAUCCAUCACUACAGCGAGAUCCAAACCGGCUUGGAUCUCCCCGAAUAAACUACACUGCCAUGAUCAUCGUCCGUCAUCGCGCACUUCCACCACGACCACGGCGAAGCUUACCGACUGGUGUCCAAGAUCGGUGGCACCGACUUCCACAAGGUCGACCAGCGCUGCAUCUACAUCAAGUCGACUGCCAUGUCGAUGCUCUUCGAGCCACGAAGCGGUGUUCAUCAUCAAACAGCGCUAUAAAGACUGUUCCGAAUUAAUCUAAUCGACCGGACACGUGGACUUUUCGUCUGAGGCCUACAUGCCCGGGGAAUGCUUACAGACCGUGACCUUGCUCUGCUGGACCAUCGCAGAGCGGAUCAAGCCUACGCUUCUCAUCAAGCAAAUGGACCACGCGAUGCUGAAACUGCAGCUGGACGCUGAAGAUCUGUACGAGGCCUUAUAUCAUAUCGUGAACGUCAUCACCACCACGGACAAAAUCAACGGUGGCCCGAUGCGGGAUGUGCGUGUCCACCCGAGCAAACUUUCGAAAACAAGCCGACGGAUCACGAAACUGAUGGUUACGUGGAAGUUGCCGACUGAAAAGCACUGCUUCAGAUAAUAGACAUCUGCCGACGCCCGUGUUCCUUCUUAAGCACCGUGCGAAGGCCAUCAUGCCGAUGAAGCCACCGUUGCCGUCGCCGUCGAGUUCCGCGCUUCUGAUGUCCAUGUCCAAAAUGGUACCUACCUCCAACAUGACGUAUUACGGAAUGGUCCGACUGCACCCCGGAAAGCGCGAUUACUUGUCUGGACAGUGUCGAUUCUAGUCAAGACCAUCUCGACUUUCAAGGCUGCCCACAACACGAAGGUGUGGGAUUUCUCCAUGUCGCCUGCCGCCCUGGUUGACAUGGACAAUGUGGUCCGACAUGGUCCGCUCGUGGGGCCAAACACCGGCGACCAGACGGUGCUUUCUGCUUGUCGCGGUCAGCAGUACGGCAAGAAUCGAACUGCCAAGGAUUUCUCACUGUCGGAGAAACUAAAUGACCAUCACGGAUCACGGAUUCAUCAAAACGUGAAUUCGGCUUCCCGAAACAGCCAGAAUGUUGUAGGAAAGUUGCCGGAACCGGUUUCGGUGGCAAGGGAAUGUCCUACCGACAAGACCGAUGGAGUGGAACUCGUCAACAUGCACGUCCGCUGUGGAUCGCCAUGCGAAGCGAGCACGUCAAGCCGCCCGCUGCCUGCCCCGUGCCGAGAAGUUAAACUGAACCGUCUACGUCCUCCUUCCUUCCGGUUCCCGUCGAGAUUCCAAGAAAUCGUCCAAAAAGCCCGUAGAAAACAAAACAUUGAAUACCAAAUCAAUAUGUCUUGUAAAUUUACUUUUUAAUAAA